AAGUCCUUCGGGAUGAGUAAAGUGGCGCACGGGUGAGUAAUGGUUGAGAACGUGCCCUGAGGUGGGGAAUAACAGUUGGAAACGACUGCUAAUACCGCAUGGUGACGAAAGUCUAAAGGUGGGGACCGCAAGGCCUACCGCCACAGGAUCGGCUCAACUCCCAUUAGCUAGUUGGCAGGGUAAUGGCCUACCAAGGCAACGAUGGGUAUGUGGUCUUAGAGGAUGAUCACACACACUGGAACUGAGACACGGUCCAGACUCCUACGGGAGGCAGCAGUAGGGAAUAUUGCACAAUGGACGAAAGUCUGAUGCAGCAACGCCGCGUGAGUGAAGAAGGCCCUUGGGUCGUAAAGCUCUUUAGCCUGGAAAGAAGUGCCCUUAAGUGAACAAUUUGAGGGUGUGACGGUACCAGGAGAAUAAGGUCCGGCUAAUUUCGUGCCAGCAGCCGCGGUAAUACGAAAGGACCAAGCGUUACUCGGAAUCACUGGGCGUAAAGCGCGCGUAGGUGGUCUUGUAUGUCGAUUGUGAAAGCCCCGGGCUCAACCUGGGAACUGCAGUCGAAACUGCAAGACUUGAAUGUUGGAGAGGUUGGGGGAAUACCUAGUGGAGAAGUGAAAUUCGUAGAGAUUACGUGGAACACCAGAGGCGAACGCGCCUGACUGGCAAACAUUGACGCUGAGGCGCGAAAGCGUGGGUAGCAAACAGGAUUAGAUACCCUGGUAGUCCACGCCGUAA
Molecule: ribosomal RNA, 735 nt
Filed under: uncultured bacterium
Lineage: Bacteria
Description: bacterial SSU rRNA
Rfam family: Bacterial small subunit ribosomal RNA
Source: RNAcentral